GCAUACUUACAAUGAUGACGUCGUGUACGAUAAUUAAUUAACACACUGUAUGUCUAAAGAUUUCGCCUUGCUUUUUAAUCGCAAUUUAUGCUAUGUCAAUUUAAAGUCUGUAGAUCCGUGACCUUUUUGGUCUUUGAUGUCUGCACCCAGUCAAUGGAAUAACUUCAUCAUCAAGGGAAAAAUUAAAAAGCUGAGAUUGAACAUAUAUCAUUUUUUUAAAAUUUUACAAAUUAAUAUGUUUAGGUAUUUUGCAAAAUUACUAAUUUUAUUACAUAAAAUGCAUUGAUAUCCCAACAAUUCGGUUAUUUUUUAAUGCAUGUACCUUUUCUUUUAGGAUAUAAGCCCAGGCAAAACGGAGAAAAACAACAGACUUUUCAAAAUCUCACUAAAGGGAAGUCGAAAAGAAAAUUCGAAGAACUCUCCCAAUCCGAUGAUGAUUUCAGCAAAAAAACGAAGAAGCCGAAAUCGCGGACGAAGAGGUAGAAAAAGAGGACGUUUGUUGGAGACGAAUAAAAAAAUGUAUCAUGUGCAAUUUCUCAAAUUGAGGAAUAUGUUUUGACAGAGAAUGUAAAAACGUGUCUUAUCUGUGAUUGUUGUAAAUUUCUAUCUUGUACAUAGAAUUACAUAGAAUAUUAUUUUUUCUUGGUAAAUUUUUUAAAUUCUAUGUAGUAAAUGUAUUUUUAUUACAUUGAAGUUGUUGUUUCGUUUUUAAUUUUAAUUUACGAUCUGAAUAAAUACAAAAAUUUGGGGUUAAAUACAAUCAAAUCUUUGUAUUUAUCUUAGCUUAUAUGUAUGAGUUUUUUAAAAUUAACUUAAUAAUAAUUAAUAAACGAGUUUAUAUACAUUUUUA
Molecule: non-coding RNA, 850 nt
Organism: Onthophagus taurus
Lineage: Eukaryota; Metazoa; Arthropoda; Insecta; Coleoptera; Scarabaeidae
Source: RefSeq, a predicted model, not a curated record